UACGGAGGGGGCUAGCGUUGUUCGGAAAUACUGGGCGUAAAGCGCACGUAGGCGGCUUAGCAAGUCAGGGGUGAAAUCCCGGAGCUCAACUCCGGAACUGCCCUUGAAACUGCUUCGCUUGAAUCCUGGAGAGGCGAGUGGAAUUCCGAGUGUAGAGGUGAAAUUCGUAGAUAUUCGGAAGAACACCAGUGGCGAAGGCGACUCGCUGGACAGGUAUUGACGCUGAGGUGCGAAAGCGUGGGGAGCAAACAGG
This 253-nucleotide ribosomal RNA is filed under the name uncultured bacterium. RNAcentral describes it as "partial 16S ribosomal RNA". It matches the Rfam family "Bacterial small subunit ribosomal RNA", at positions 524 to 776 of the family's 1533-position model. The record is from RNAcentral.